GCCCAGGUGGCGGAACUGGCAGACGCGCUGGAUUUAGGUUCCAGUGCCGCAAGGCGUGGAGGUUCGAGUCCUCUCCUGGGCACCA
Molecule: transfer RNA, 85 nt
Filed under: Alphaproteobacteria bacterium
Lineage: Bacteria; Pseudomonadati; Pseudomonadota; Alphaproteobacteria
Description: tRNA-Leu
Rfam family: tRNA
About the family: Transfer RNA (tRNA) molecules are approximately 80 nucleotides in length. Their secondary structure includes four short double-helical elements and three loops (D, anti-codon, and T loops). Further hydrogen bonds mediate the characteristic L-shaped molecular structure. tRNAs have two regions of fundamental functional importance: the anti-codon, which is responsible for specific mRNA codon recognition, and the 3' end, to which the tRNAs corresponding amino acid is attached (by aminoacyl-tRNA synthetases). tRNAs cope with the degeneracy of the genetic code in two manners: having more than one tRNA (with a specific anti-codon) for a particular amino acid; and 'wobble' base-pairing, i.e. permitting non-standard base-pairing at the 3rd anti-codon position.
Source: RNAcentral